This 207-nucleotide ribosomal RNA is filed under the name uncultured bacterium. RNAcentral describes it as "partial 16S ribosomal RNA". It matches the Rfam family "Bacterial small subunit ribosomal RNA", at positions 568 to 774 of the family's 1533-position model. The record is from RNAcentral.
CGUGUAGGUGGGCUUCUAAGUCGGUGGUGAAAUCCUGCAGCUUAACUGUAGAACUGCCAUUGAUACUGGAAGUCUUGAGUACGGCAGAGGGAGAUAGAAUUCAUGGUGUAGCGGUGAAAUGUGUAGAUAUCAUGAAGAAUACCAGUUGCGAAGGCGGUCUCCUGGUCCGUUACUGACACUGAGGCGCGAAAGCGUGGGGAGCAAACA